Long non-coding RNA from Dermacentor silvarum, 3072 nucleotides. RefSeq lists it as uncharacterized. The transcript is spliced from 3 exons. The record is from RefSeq and is a predicted model, not a curated record. NCBI's taxonomy places the organism in Eukaryota, Metazoa, Arthropoda, Arachnida, Ixodida, Ixodidae.
CACAAAUAUCCGUCGGAUAUCCAGUUUAGAUCCGAACGUCCUGGGCCCACACUGGUCAUUCAGCGGACGUACAUGGGACAUCCUUUUUUGACAUUAAAGAAAGUUCCGUUUAUUUUGUUCCUGUGGAGGUCCUCUGGAUGUUCCCCUUUGGAUGCGGGAAACGUCCAGUGUGUGUUAUCCCUUGGUCGUCCUUUGAAUGUAGGAAUCUUUUCUACAAAUAAUGUACGUUAAUGCGACUAUUUUUCAUUAGAAUUUCAACGAUGAUAUGCUGUGAAUAUAUUGCUAACAUCGCAUGCACGUGGGCAUGGUGCUUAACUAUUAAGUGGACUUCUAUGGGCAAAGAAGAAAACGAAAUUAAGUACAAAUAAUUCUUCCAGAACUAAAGUUUCCUCUCGAUGUGUCCUGAGUGAAAAGGAAUUGUGAACCCAAAUCACCAGCUAAUGAACAUUACGCGGAUACCGUUUUAUCAUGCUUUGGCCAUAUUACGUAAUGAACAAUUGCGGAGGGCGUACAGAGGCCUGCCUCCAAGCCCCCUGAAUAAAACUAAACGAUAGCCAUAUUUUGCCGAGCCAGCCAGCCGGCGAGGAUGUCCGCGCUACAGUGUACUAGAAUCUUCUAUUCACUAUAUCCGCGCCUCGAGCGCGCGUCGGCGUCGUCAUUUGUUUUCUUGAUUUUUUUUUUCUUUUUUUUCCGCUGGCGUCAUGACAUUCGCGGUGCUGCUCCCCGCGAGCAACGCCGCGAUUACAAAGAGGGAACUGAGAGGGCGAGCAGCGAGGAGGGUGACUAGCGCCUCGCCACCGGCGUACCCCUCUCCCCUCGUUGUGCGCCUCGCACUGCUCACAGCCUCGCGUUGAUCCCGCCGCCAUACAGAAGGCACGUGGCGCCUUUAUGUGCAGUUUUGUAGCUGUGGUCGUAGUUUUGCCGCUGUGUACGUUGGCGUUGUAACAGGUGUUCUGUGGUGCCGUUCGGUGUCGUGCAAAGAGCUCUCCUGCAAAAAUCUGCUGCAACAGUUUCCCCAAGGAAGCACAACAGAUGUUGAAGAUGCCAUCAAAUCAUGGCUCAGACAUGCACCGGAAAGGGCAUCAGGCACCCUCGAACACAAGGAGCCUGCAACGUCUGUUGAAGACUCAAAUGAAGAUGCUGAAUGAGUACCUUCCUUGCCCGCUGCACUCCAAUCCCAUGCCAGUGCCAUGACAUUCGUGUGCCCGAUUACAGCAGCUACCAAGUAGCUAUAGAUAGUACCUUCACAGCAUCAUUGUUACUUUUUCUCUUCUUAUUUUAGCAUAUGUGUUAAGCAAUGUGUGUGAUCAAUGCUCACUAUCCAGGAAGCAUGUUCACUUUCAGUAUGAGAUUCACUUGUGUGGGCUUUCCACUUCAUUUUUCUUUAUGGCCGGUUCUGAUCAUUAGCAGUUCUAGUCAACAGGUGAUUUUGAGGGACAAAUUAGGAUACUAAUUUGUAUGUUUGUUUCUCUUUUUUCUAUGUGUUAAGUGAAGCAAUGUGUCCACUCAGUGCUUAUUAUUUAGGAAAUGCUUUGUUUCUUGAUAAGAGGUUCAUUUCUGGGAGCUCUUAGCUUCGUCUUUCGCUUGGCAGCUCAUUAUUCAAAAAGCACAUUCAUUCUCUCCAUAUAGAUUUAAUCCACGGGUUAAUUCUUACUCUUUUAGACUUUGUUGUUAUUGAUGUUCAGUAGUUCCCUCAGCAGUUUUUCAACGCACAUUUUACUCAUGUUGAUUAGUGUGCUUAGUGGUGGUUGCCUUUAAGCAUUUCUAAAAUUCAGUCUUCAUGAUCCCAUCUGCUUUUUUAGUUACUUGCAUUGCAAUUUUUGUGUUGCUGUUGGACAUUUUCAGUUGUUUUGCAGAGUACUAACACUAUUGUGAUGUGUCUCAGUUGAUUAAGUACACAUUUAAUUACAUUUGCCUUGUAUUCUUCUCAGCGUGAAAAGUGUUCGGUGCUGUAUAGUAGUUUUCUUAGUAAUUUCGUUUGCAAAUUUCAUGUUGACGCCAUGUUUUAUGUACAAAAAAUGACGUGGUGACCUAAUAAGUAGCAUGGCCGCUUGUGUUGUUUGAGCUGCACCUGAUUAUUUUUGUCGUCACGUUUAUGUAAUGACAGCUUGAAGCAGCAUUUUUAGUCAUUUUAUAUGGGUUUUGUAGCAAUAUUGGCAAACUAUUUUGCACUGCUGUUAGUCUACUGUGCUCAAAUAUUUUGAUUUUGUGUUGCAAUAAAAUAGUUUAACAAGAUUUGUCUUGUUGAUUAUGCAUUGAGCUUUGUUAUAAUGUGCAGGACAUAUGAACAAAGCUCUUGCCGUGGUUUGUGAAGUACUAUGAUUUUAGUGUAUGCAUGGUAUUUUUGCAUGUCUGGCUUAGUGGCUGUUAUUCUAUAACGUAAAGUUUCAGCUUUCCCGAAAUACACAGGCACCCAGAUAUGGUUAGUUUAUUUCUUUUGUACUGCCUUGUAUCCUUUGGCAAAAGUUCUCUUCCCAGUUCAGUGCACUAGACUUGGUACUUUGCUAAGCCAUGUGGUACAGUUCAUGCUGUGGGCCCUGCUGAUGAAGCACGGCAGGCUGAUGACAAGCCUUGUUUUUCAGGGUAAUAAAGCCCCACUACUCGCAUUAGUGUGGCUUCUUUCUGUACCUUAGUCAAGGAUAUUCAUAAAUUACUGGUAUAGCUUGCACAAAGCUUCACUAAGGAUUUAAAAGGAAUGUGCCUCCAAACGUCCAGUGGACAUCCUGCAAUUGAAAAUAUAGUCCUUCGGACAUCCACUGGUCAUUUUUCUUUACAAAUGUUCGCAUCUAAACAUCCAGUGGACAUCCUGCACUUUACAGGGUCCUAAAGGUAUACUAUUUAGGACAUCCACUGGACGUUUCGUAUAGGAAAAGCUUAUUUUCAAAUAUCCUGUGGACAUCCGAAUAUCCGAUUUUGAUGUACGAUGGACGUUUUUUGGAUGUGCUUUUUCUUUGCGUCGGACGAUCCUACGGACAUCCGUAGUACAUCAUUGGGACUUCUGGGGAUAUCCGACGGACGUCAAAAUAUCCGUUGUUGGAUGUCCACUGAACGUUCGCUGGAGAUCUGUGGUCC